GAUGAACGCUGGCUACAGGCUUAACACAUGCAAGUCGUGGGGAAACGGCAUUAUGUGCUUGCACAUUCUGGACGUCGACCGGCGCACGGGUGAGUAUCGCGUAUCCAACCUGCCCCUUACUUGGGGAUACUCCGUUGAAAGACGGCCUAAUACCCGAUGUGUUUCAUUGACGGCAUCCGAUAUGAAACAAAGGUUUUCCGGUAAGGGAUGGGGAUGCGUCUGAUUAGCUUGUUGGCGGGGCAACGGCCCACCAAGGCGACGAUCAGUAGGGGUUCUGAGAGGAAGGUCCCCCACAUUGGAACUGAGACACGGUCCAAACUCCUACGGGAGGCAGCAGUGAGGAAUAUUGGUCAAUGGACGCAAGUCUGAACCAGCCAAGUAGCGUGCAGGAUGGCGGCCCUAUGGGUUGUAAACUGCUUUUAUGUGGGAAUAAAGUGGCGCACGUGUGCGCCAUUGCAUGUACCUCAUGAAUAAGGACCGGCUAAUUCCGUGCCAGCAGCCGCGGUAAUACGGAAGGUCCGGGCGUUAUCCGGAUUUAUUGGGUUUAAAGGGAGUGUAGGCGGUCUGUUAAGCGUGUUGUGAAAUUUAGGUGCUCAACAUUUAACUUGCAGCGCGAACUGUCAGACUUGAGUACACGCAGCGCAGGCGGAAUUCAUGGUGUAGCGGUGAAAUGCUUAGAUAUCAUGAGGAACUCCGAUCGCGAAGGCAGCCUGCGGGAGUGUUACUGACGCUUAAGCUCGAAGGUGCGGGUAUCGAACAGG
RNAcentral lists this ribosomal RNA (761 nucleotides) under Prevotella nigrescens. RNAcentral's name for it is "bacterial SSU rRNA". It matches the Rfam family "Bacterial small subunit ribosomal RNA", at positions 28 to 776 of the family's 1533-position model. The record is from RNAcentral. Lineage: Bacteria; Pseudomonadati; Bacteroidota; Bacteroidia; Bacteroidales; Prevotellaceae.